This 654-nucleotide ribosomal RNA is filed under the name uncultured archaeon. RNAcentral describes it as "bacterial SSU rRNA". It matches the Rfam family "Archaeal small subunit ribosomal RNA", at positions 508 to 1160 of the family's 1478-position model. The record is from RNAcentral.
GCCUAAAGCGUCCGUAGCCGGCUCUGUUAGUUUUCGGUUAAAUCCAUAUGCUCAACAUAUGGGCCGCCGGGAAUACUACAAAGCUAGGGAGUGGGAGAGGUAGACGGUACUCCGUAGGAAGGGGUAAAAUCCUUUGAUCUAUGGAUGACCACCAGUGGCGAGGGCGGUCUACCAGAACACGUUCGACGGUGAGGGAUGAAAGCUGGGGGAGCAAACCGGAUUAGAUACCCGGGUAGUCCCAGCUGUAAACUAUGCAAACUCAGUGAUGCAUUGGCUUGUGGCCAGUGCAGUGCCGCAGAGAAGUCGUUAAGUUUGCCGCCUGGGAAGUACGUACGCAAGUAUGAAACUUAAAGGAAUUGGCGGGGGAGCACCACAAGGGGUGAAGCCUGCGGUUCAAUUGGAGUCAACGCCAGAAAUCUUACCCGGAGAGACAGCAGAAUGAAGGUCAAGUUGAAGCCUUUACCAGACAAGCUGAGAAGUGGUGCAUGGCCGUCGCCAGCUCGUGCCGUGAGGUGUCCUGUUAAGUCAGGUAACGAGCGAGAUCCUUGCCUCUAGUUGCUACCAUUACUCUCAGGAGUAGUGGGGCGAAUUAGCGGGACUGCCGUAGUUAAUACGGAGGAAGGAGAGGGCCACGGCAGGUCAGUAUGCCCCGAA